Long non-coding RNA from Helianthus annuus (common sunflower), 261 nucleotides. RefSeq lists it as uncharacterized. Lineage: Eukaryota; Viridiplantae; Streptophyta; Magnoliopsida; Asterales; Asteraceae. The record is from RefSeq and is a predicted model, not a curated record. The transcript has 2 exons.
GUUUUUGGUUCAGGUUAUCGGAGCUCCGGCCCGGCUGACAAUGGCAACGGAUUCAGGUCUCGGUUCGGUUGAAUCGGGUGGCUCGGGAUCGAGCCUGGGUUUGAUUCGGUUCCGUUUCCGUUCUCUUGAAUCGGGUGGCUCGGGAAGGUUUGAAAAUUCAGAUGGAGGCGUUGGGAGAUACAGAUCCCAGAGUCGCUGAGACUUGCAGAUACUUAGCUGAGGCUCUUGUUCAAGCAAUGCAAUUUGAUGAAGCAGAUACCU